UACGGACGGGGCGAGCGUUGUUCGGAAUCAUUGGGCGUAAAGGGCGCGUAGGUGGUUUUGUAUGUCUACCGUGAAAGCGUACGGCUCAACCGUAUUUUGUCGGUAGAAACUGCAGGACUUGAGGCUGGGAGGGGCUGGCGGAAUUCCCUGUGUAGCGGUGAAAUGCGUAGAGAUGGGGGAGAACACUCGUGGCGAAGGCGGCCAGCUAGACCAGUUCUGACACUGAGGCGCGAUAGCGUGGGGAGCAAACAGG
This 253-nucleotide ribosomal RNA is filed under the name uncultured bacterium. RNAcentral describes it as "partial 16S ribosomal RNA". It matches the Rfam family "Bacterial small subunit ribosomal RNA", at positions 524 to 776 of the family's 1533-position model. The record is from RNAcentral.